AGCGUGGGUAGCAAACAGGAUUAGAUACCCUGGUAGUCCACGCCGUAAACGAUGUCUACUAGUCGUUGGGGAACUUGAUUCNUUAGUGACGCAGCUAACGCAAUAAGUAGACCGCCUGGGGAGUACGGCCGCAAGGUUAAAACUCAAAUGAAUUGNCGGGGGCCCGCACNAGCGGUGGAGCAUGUGGUUUANUUNGAUGCAACGCGAAGAACCUUACCUGGUCUUGACAUAUCUAGAAUCCUGCAGAGAUGCGGGAGUGCCUUCGGGAAUUAGAAUACAGGUGCUGCAUGGCUGUCGUCAGCUNGUGUCGUGAGAUGUUGGGUUAAGUCCCGCAACGAGCGCAACCCUUGUCCUUAGUUACCAGCGGGUUAAGCCGGGAACUCUAAGGAUACUGCCAGUGACAAACUGGAGGAAGGCGGGGACGACGUCAAGUCAUCAUGGCCCUUACGACCAGGGCUACACACGUGCUACAAUGGUAGGUACAGAGGGCAGCUACACAGCGAUGUGAUGCGAAUCUCAAAAAGCCUAUCGUAGUCCAGAUUGGAGUCUGCAACUCGACUCCAUGAAGUAGGAAUCGCUAGUAAUCGCGGAUCAGAAUGCCGCGGUGAAUACGUUCCCGGGCCUUGUACACACCGCCCGUCACACCAUGGGAGUUGAUUGCACCAGAAGUGGUUAGCCGAACCUUUUAGGACGGCG
This 696-nucleotide ribosomal RNA is filed under the name Psychrobacter sp. RNAcentral describes it as "bacterial SSU rRNA". It matches the Rfam family "Bacterial small subunit ribosomal RNA", at positions 758 to 1452 of the family's 1533-position model. The record is from RNAcentral. Lineage: Bacteria; Pseudomonadati; Pseudomonadota; Gammaproteobacteria; Moraxellales; Moraxellaceae.